GCCAGGGCAGUUACCAGGACGGUCUCCGGAGGCCGGGAUUCGCGGAGGGUCAACCUGGAGGAAGAAACGCCAGAAGGAAGAAACUUCAGACAGAUCGCCGGGGACGCAGCACGGGAUCCCAGCCUCAGGCCUGCGGGGACGGUGUGCGGGUCGGCCUUUCUUCUGGUCAGCCUCUCCCCGCGUCUCUGCCUCGGUCGUGUAGCCGGUUAGCAGUCGGUUUCCCGGCGGUUCCGGUUUGGGGGUCUGGGAGGGCCUGGGCAAUGCCGGCAUCUGCUUCGGAACCGCAGGGGUUUUCGUCCCCUCCCCAUCCGGAGCAGCCUCUUUGCUAGGCUAGAUCCAGACGACCGCUCCCCAAGCAAGGACAACGGCCUCCCAGGCGCUCAUUGUCCACCCGCAGGAGGGUGCCCGCAGACCUUCAAGAAGAUGGUUCUCACGCCUCUCGCCCUCUCCCUC
This 453-nucleotide long non-coding RNA is filed under the name Homo sapiens (human). RNAcentral describes it as "HSALNT0322177". The record is from RNAcentral. Lineage: Eukaryota; Metazoa; Chordata; Mammalia; Primates; Hominidae.